GGGUUGUGAGGUUAAGCGACUAAGCGUACACGGUGGAUGCCCUGGCAGUCAGAGGCGAUGAAGGACGUGCUAAUCUGCGAUAAGCGUCGGUAAGGUGAUAUGAACCGUUAUAACCGGCGAUUUCCGAAUGGGGAAACCCAGUGUGUUUCGACACACUAUCAUUAACUGAAUCCAUAGGUUAAUGAGGCGAACCGGGGGAACUGAAACAUCUAAGUACCCCGAGGAAAAGAAAUCAACCGAGAUUCCCCCAGUAGCGGCGAGCGAACGGGGAGCAGCCCAGAGCCUGAAUCAGUGUGUGUGUUAGUGGAAGCGUCUGGAAAGGCGCGCGAUACAGGGUGACAGCCCCGUACACAAAAAUGCACAUGCUGUGAGCUCGAUGAGUAGGGCGGGACACGUGGUAUCCUGUCUGAAUAUGGGGGGACCAUCCUCCAAGGCUAAAUACUCCUGACUGACCGAUAGUGAACCAGUACCGUGAGGGAAAGGCGAAAAGAACCCCGGCGAGGGGAGUGAAAAAGAACCUGAAACCGUGUACGUACAAGCAGUGGGAGCACGCUUCGGCGUGUGACUGCGUACCUUUUGUAUAAUGGGUCAGCGACUUAUAUUCUGUAGCAAGGUUAACCGAAUAGGGGAGCCGAAGGGAAACCGAGUCUUAACUGGGCGUUAAGUUGCAGGGUAUAGACCCGAAACCCGGUGAUCUAGCCAUGGGCAGGUUGAAGGUUGGGUAACACUAACUGGAGGACCGAACCGACUAAUGUUGAAAAAUUAGCGGAUGACUUGUGGCUGGGGGUGAAAGGCCAAUCAAACCGGGAGAUAGCUGGUUCUCCCCGAAAGCUAUUUAGGUAGCGCCUCGUGAAUUCAUCUCCGGGGGUAGAGCACUGUUUCGGCAAGGGGGUCAUCCCGACUUACCAACCCGAUGCAAACUGCGAAUACCGGAGAAUGUUAUCACGGGAGACACACGGCGGGUGCUAACGUCCGUCGUGAAGAGGGAAACAACCCAGACCGCCAGCUAAGGUCCCAAAGUCAUGGUUAAGUGGGAAACGAUGUGGGAAGGCCCAGACAGCCAGGAUGUUGGCUUAGAAGCAGCCAUCAUUUAAAGAAAGCGUAAUAGCUCACUGGUCGAGUCGGCCUGCGCGGAAGAUGUAACGGGGCUAAACCAUGCACCGAAGCUGCGGCAGCGACGCUGAUGCGUUGUUGGGUAGGGGAGCGUUCUGUAAGCCUGCGAAGGUGUGCUGUGAGGCAUGCUGGAGGUAUCAGAAGUGCGAAUGCUGACAUAAGUAACGAUAAAGCGGGUGAAAAGCCCGCUCGCCGGAAGACCAAGGGUUCCUGUCCAACGUUAAUCGGGGCAGGGUGAGUCGACCCCUAAGGCGAGGCCGAAAGGCGUAGUCGAUGGGAAACAGGUUAAUAUUCCUGUACUUGGUGUUACUGCGAAGGGGGGACGGAGAAGGCUAUGUUGGCCGGGCGACGGUUGUCCCGGUUUAAGCGUGUAGGCUGGUUUUCCAGGCAAAUCCGGAAAAUCAAGGCUGAGGCGUGAUGACGAGGCACUACGGUGCUGAAGCAACAAAUGCCCUGCUUCCAGGAAAAGCCUCUAAGCAUCAGGUAACAUCAAAUCGUACCCCAAACCGACACAGGUGGUCAGGUAGAGAAUACCAAGGCGCUUGAGAGAACUCGGGUGAAGGAACUAGGCAAAAUGGUGCCGUAACUUCGGGAGAAGGCACGCUGAUAUGUAGGUGAGGUCCCUCGCGGAUGGAGCUGAAAUCAGUCGAAGAUACCAGCUGGCUGCAACUGUUUAUUAAAAACACAGCACUGUGCAAACACGAAAGUGGACGUAUACGGUGUGACGCCUGCCCGGUGCCGGAAGGUUAAUUGAUGGGGUUAGCGCAAGCGAAGCUCUUGAUCGAAGCCCCGGUAAACGGCGGCCGUAACUAUAACGGUCCUAAGGUAGCGAAAUUCCUUGUCGGGUAAGUUCCGACCUGCACGAAUGGCGUAAUGAUGGCCAGGCUGUCUCCACCCGAGACUCAGUGAAAUUGAACUCGCUGUGAAGAUGCAGUGUACCCGCGGCAAGACGGAAAGACCCCGUGAACCUUUACUAUAGCUUGACACUGAACAUUGAGCCUUGAUGUGUAGGAUAGGUGGGAGGCUUAGAAGUGUGGACGCCAGUCUGCAUGGAGCCGACCUUGAAAUACCACCCUUUAAUGUUUGAUGUUCUAACGUUGACCCGUAAUCCGGGUUGCGGACAGUGUCUGGUGGGUAGUUUGACUGGGGCGGUCUCCUCCUAAAGAGUAACGGAGGAGCACGAAGGUUGGCUAAUCCUGGUCGGACAUCAGGAGGUUAGUGCAAUGGCAUAAGCCAGCUUGACUGCGAGCGUGACGGCGCGAGCAGGUGCGAAAGCAGGUCAUAGUGAUCCGGUGGUUCUGAAUGGAAGGGCCAUCGCUCAACGGAUAAAAGGUACUCCGGGGAUAACAGGCUGAUACCGCCCAAGAGUUCAUAUCGACGGCGGUGUUUGGCACCUCGAUGUCGGCUCAUCACAUCCUGGGGCUGAAGUAGGUCCCAAGGGUAUGGCUGUUCGCCAUUUAAAGUGGUACGCGAGCUGGGUUUAGAACGUCGUGAGACAGUUCGGUCCCUAUCUGCCGUGGGCGCUGGAGAACUGAGGGGGGCUGCUCCUAGUACGAGAGGACCGGAGUGGACGCAUCACUGGUGUUCGGGUUGUCAUGCCAAUGGCACUGCCCGGUAGCUAAAUGCGGAAGAGAUAAGUGCUGAAAGCAUCUAAGCACGAAACUUGCCCCGAGAUGAGUUCUCCCUGACCCUUUAAGGGUCCUGAAGGAACGUUGAAGACGACGACGUUGAUAGGCCGGGUGUGUAAGCGCAGCGAUGCGUUGAGCUAACCGGUACUAAUGAACCGUGAGGCUUAACCUUACAACGCCGAAGCUGUU
Molecule: ribosomal RNA, 2930 nt
Filed under: Escherichia coli
Lineage: Bacteria; Pseudomonadati; Pseudomonadota; Gammaproteobacteria; Enterobacterales; Enterobacteriaceae
Description: bacterial LSU rRNA
Rfam family: Bacterial large subunit ribosomal RNA
Source: RNAcentral